GACGAACGCUGGCGGCGUGCUUAACACAUGCAAGUCGAACGGAAAGGCCCUGCUUUUGUGGGGUGCUCGAGUGGCGAACGGGUGAGUAACACGUGAGUAACCUGCCCUUGACUUUGGGAUAACUUCAGGAAACUGGGGCUAAUACCUGAUAGGAGCUCCUGCUGCAUGGUGGGGGUUGGAACGUUUCGGCGGUUGGGGAUGGACUCGCGGCUUAUCAGCUUGUUGGUGGGGUAGUGGCUUACCAAGGCUUUGACGGGUAGCCGGCCUGAGAGGGUGACCGGCCACAUUGGGACUGAGAUACGGCCCAGACUCCUACGGGAGGCAGCAGUGGGGAAUAUUGCACAAUGGGCGGAAGCCUGAUGCAGCAACGCCGCGUGCGGGAUGACGGCCUUCGGGUUGUAAACCGCUUUCGCCUGUGACGAAGCGUGAGUGACGGUAAUGGGUAAAGAAGCACCGGCUAACUACGUG
This 468-nucleotide ribosomal RNA is filed under the name uncultured bacterium. RNAcentral describes it as "partial 16S ribosomal RNA". It matches the Rfam family "Bacterial small subunit ribosomal RNA", at positions 28 to 507 of the family's 1533-position model. The record is from RNAcentral.